CCUACGGGCGGCAGCAGUGGGGAAUAUUGCACAAUGGGGGAAACCCUGAUGCAGCGACGCCGCGUGAGUGAAGAAGUAUUUCGGUACGUAAAGCUCUAUCAGCAGGGAAGAAAAAGACGGUACCUGACUAAGAAGCCUCGGCUAACUACGGGCAAGCAGCCGCGGUAAUACGUCGGGGGCAAACGUUAUCCGGAUUUACUGGGUGUAAAGGGGGCGGAGACGGCAGAACAAGUCUGGAGUGAAAUCCCGGGGCUUAACCCCGGAAGUGCAUUGGAAACUGUGCGGCUUGAGUGCAGGAGGGGUAAGCGGAAUUCCUAGUGUAGCGGUGAAAUGCGUAGAUAUUAGGAGGAACACCGGUGGCGAAGGCGGCUUACUGGACUGUAACUGACGUUGAGGCUCGAAAGCGUGGGGAGCAAACAGGAUUAGAUACCCCAGUAGUC
This 440-nucleotide ribosomal RNA is filed under the name uncultured bacterium. RNAcentral's name for it is "partial 16S ribosomal RNA". It matches the Rfam family "Bacterial small subunit ribosomal RNA", at positions 338 to 795 of the family's 1533-position model. The record is from RNAcentral.